Molecule: ribosomal RNA, 210 nt
Filed under: uncultured bacterium
Lineage: Bacteria
Description: partial 16S ribosomal RNA
Rfam family: Bacterial small subunit ribosomal RNA
Source: RNAcentral
CGGGGACAACAUUCCAAGGGAUGCUAAUACCGGAUGUGACGCUCCUAUCGCAUGACGGGAGCGUGAAAGAUGGCCUCUACAUGUAAGCUAUCGCUAAAGGAUGGGCCUGCGUCUGAUUAGCUAGUUGGUAGUGUAACGGACGACCAAGGCGAUGAUCAGUAGCCGGUCUGAGAGGAUGAACGGCCACAUUGGGACUGAGACACGGCCCAG